This 305-nucleotide ribosomal RNA is filed under the name uncultured bacterium. RNAcentral describes it as "bacterial SSU rRNA". It matches the Rfam family "Bacterial small subunit ribosomal RNA", at positions 335 to 658 of the family's 1533-position model. The record is from RNAcentral.
GUCCUACGGGAGGCAGCAGUGGGGAAUAUUGCACAAUGGGGGAAACCCUGAUGCAGCGACGCCGCGUGGGUGACGAAGUAUUUCGGUAUGUAAAGCCCUAUCAGCAGGGAAGAAGAUGACAGUACCUGACCAAGAAGCCCCGGCUAACUACGUGCCAGCAGCCGCGGUAAUACGUAGGGGGCAAGCGUUAUCCGGAUUUACUGGGUGUAAAGGGAGCGUAGACGGCGAUGCAAGUCUGAAGUGAAAGCCCGGGGCUCAACCCCGGGACUGCUUUGGAAACUGUAUGGCUGGAGUGCUGGAGAGGC